This is a long non-coding RNA of Oxyura jamaicensis (ruddy duck), 9478 nucleotides long. RefSeq lists it as uncharacterized. The transcript is spliced from 11 exons. NCBI's taxonomy places the organism in Eukaryota, Metazoa, Chordata, Aves, Anseriformes, Anatidae. The record is from RefSeq and is a predicted model, not a curated record.
GGAAGGGUCUGCAGCUCAUCUGUAUCAGUUCAUCUUGAUCACCAAGCCAGCUGGACACAGGACUCUUGUUCAUCUGUCCACAAGCAUAUCAGGAACUGGGGGCUCAUUUCUGGCAGUAGAAUAUUACUAUAGAAUAUAAAGAUCAAAACCAGAUACACGAGGUGAUAAGGCUAACAAGAUACUGAACCUCUAACCUCGCAGGCAGGAGGCAGAUCAUUUUAGAGAAAUGACUGGCUAUGAUCAGAAGUAUGGUCAGUACUGGUGGAGUCAUAAGGUUUUGAUCAGAAGCACUUCCAUCUUGUGGCAGUCCUUUGUGAUGGGGACUGUACCUCAUGUGGAGCCGAGAGUGGCACGGGGCCAUGUGAACAAGCCACUGCUCCAAGGACUGCUCAGUGUUUGAGGUAAAAAGUGAGGUCAGCCAGGACCGGGCCCUGCCUGGAAAGGUUGGCUUGAACUUUCAAUCUCCUGUCCUCUGGUAAUUGGGAAAUAUGUAAAAAAUGGUGAGUCAGAACCCAGCAGGAGACUUUUUGGUUCAGAAAGCAAAACCUUCCCAAGAGGAGCACUUGGAUGGUGGGUGAGCUGUGCUUGCUUCUUGGCCUGGCGAGGCUGAACCUGGAGAUGUUCUUACGAGCUAAACCCACAGCUUUGAGGACAGCAAACCCAUUCUGCUAUGUUAGAGGUGGUAGUUUUCGCUCCUCGCUCCACAAAGCUUAAAAUUCCCAUUUCCUUAGGUAAGGUAAGGAUGGAUCUACUUGCUGGAGAAGUCAAUCAUCUGCAUUGUAGAGCAGGAGAUUUCUAUGUCCACACCCCACCACACACAAAACCACUCUCCAGUAUUUCCAUGCUUCCCCUUUUGCUGUUAAGACAAGAUUUUCUCCUGCAACUGAACAGUAAAUGUUUCAUAAACUGUUCCUCCGUCUGCAAGUGGACCUUGAAAAUUGAUUAUUUUUUGUUUGUUUCUUUUAGUCUCCAAAUGUUUCUGCCAUUAUAAGGCAGGCAGUUAUUUUGCUAGGAAGGAAUGUGAAGAAUUAGAGAAGUUGAAAGCGAUUAGGGCUCUGUCUUUUAAGACAGAGCCAUUCACAAAGCCUGGCAUUCAGCCUGCACCAAGCGAGCAUCAUAAGACACCCUGAAGCCUUGAAAUCCCUCAGUUUUAAACCCCAUGGGGUGGCUUUUGCAUUAUCAGGGAAGAAAUGAUAUUGCAGAGACUAUUUUCUUCAUAUUUUAAAGGUCUCUGAGUUAAUAUUUAUUCUAAGUAGUUGUUUAUUUUUGGAUACUUUUAUUGUUUCUAGGAAGGCCACAAAGAGUUCAAUGUUAUGGAGAAAUGGUUACUUUGUAUUUAUGGUUAAAGCAAAAACAAGAAGAAAAAAGAAAGUGCCAAACAAUCCUGCCCCAGUUCUUUAUUUAAGGAGACAAUGUACUUUCCACCCAUGCACAGGCAGUGCUUUAUAGGCUGUAUAAUAAAAUGCUGUUCCAGAUAUUGUCUAAAUAGAAACAGAUUUAACCCUGCUGUUGUGACUUGCAUUGCUGGGUAAUGAAAGUUUUCAAUCUGGUUUUACUUUGUUUUAUGCUCACUGGAGAACUGCACAUCCACAAAGCCCUGCCUUAUGCACAGAGACCUGUUGUUCCAAUGCCAUCUGCUUGUGUAUGAACAGUGAGCAUCCCCCAAAACCACAACAACAACAACCAAAACACAAGGAUUUGGCCUUUUCUGAUAGGUAAAGAACUGCAGUUCAGCCCUUGAAGUGAUAUUUUCUGCAAAGACCAUGUUAUAAAACAAAACCGAGUGGUUUCCAGUGAGAGUUUAAGGUGCACAUGGCAAUGAGGUGGUGGUGCCUAUUGCUUCAGUUUUUGAUGAGAGGUCCAAAACCCAAGAAUUUAUAUUGCCUAUACACUCGUCUACUAAUGGCAUACUCAAGACUGCUGAAAAGACUCUUCAGUUUAAGUUGGCUUGGAAAGUUACCCAUCACUGUGUUACCUAAAGCAAUCUCCAAGUGUUUCUCCACAGGGGAAAAGACCUAUGAUAACAGAAGAUCCCUGAAGAUCAGAGAACAAAAGAUGGGCUGCAGCACAUGCAUAUCAGGAAAUGGUCCAUUACUCAUGAAUUGCUCCAUUUCCGUACACCAACGGGGGUCACCCUGUCACUGAGGACCAGGGAGAUUGUAACAAUAAUAUAAAUACUGCUUUAUUUACAAUUUUACAAGAAAAUAGCUUUCCAUGGUCAUUACAGAGAGACUGUUUUUUUUUUAAAGUUUCCACAAAUAAAACACUCUCAGAGGACAGUAGGAAGUUUGCAAUUUGAAGUAUUUUGCAGUGGGACUAAAGGCGUAUUUCCACGUGUCACAGAGCCGGGGCCAGCUGUUGGGACAUGAACUAAGAACUAGGAAGAACCAGAUUCUCCUCUUCGUUCCCCUACAGAUUUCCUGUGUGACCUUGAAAAAGUUACUGAGUUUCGCUGCCUUUGUGUACUGGCAGUAUUCUGCUAGCUUCCCUUUUAUACCCCAUGAUGGUCCUUUUUAUGCUCCGUUAUCCAGAAUACUGCACCCAGCAGCAUUGCCAUUGUGGUGAUGGGGAACCUGUGCCAUAGGAUUUUUGCAUACCCAGAAAAUUAACAUCUGGGCAAUGUAAGUAUUGCAUAUACAGAAAAAGCUGCCCUUGUUCACAUUCCCUUAGUUCUGUGUCGGUGCCAGCUCUCUGCAGCCUGCCCUGUGCAAUUACCUGCUCAAAAGUGGUCUGGUCCCCUUGGGGAGGCUGGAGGGGGGUACCUGUGCUCCUCUGGAUGCCUAGGAUUGCUGGGGAUUGCAGGGACUGGCUCAUGGUGCUUUUCCCAUCUGCAGGUCAGAGGUAACAGGGUUCUCCUGCUGCGUGAGAAACUGUGUGGAUGAAUACAAGUGACACUAAGGGCAGGCAUCGUUCUCCUAAUGCGUGUCUUACAAGUGUUGGAGCUAGUCACUAUAACAACAGUGCCUCAAAUUUGUGUCCACUUGAACUUCUCCGUCUCUGUAAUCGCCGAGCAAGAAUGAGCAGCCAAAGAAGUGCCGAGUUUAUGCAAGCAAAACCGACCCGGCUCAUGCCAAGAGGAGCUGGAGAGCAGCAGCCCGUGCCCCACGCCUGCUCUGCGAAGCCCCGCGGGGAUGGGGCUGCGGUGCCCGGCUCCUGUCUGACUCGUUCUGCUCCCCUCCUGUUCCCUGCCUGCACAGCCGCAAGUUGCAGCUGCAGAAAGUGGGUCCAGCCCGGCUGCCGCGGGAGGCUGAGCUGCACGCAUGUGUGCGCUCACACUGCCGGGAAGAGCUCGCCCAGCUGAAGUCCUUGAGCUUUGAGUGAAUGCUAGAAACUGAGAUGACUUAAAUAUUUGGCAGCAGCUAGGAUAAGUUAUCUUUUUUCUUUAAAAAAAUAACAUGUUAUGCAAUCAGCUUUUAUUAUAUUUAUGGGUAUUUAUUCUUUCUGUAGAUGAUAAAAUAAUCUCGGUGGAACCAAUAGGAAUGUAAAUUUAAAAAUUCAGGCUAUUGGAGAAUUAAAUGACACAACAUUUCUUGUAAAAGUUCUAAAAGCACACACAAAAAAAACCCUUCCUAUAUUUGCACAUCCUGUGGUAAUUAGCACAUGAAUAUUUUCCAUUUUUAGUCUUCGAAAAAAUACUUUUAGAAUGGUUGAAACAAGUGCAUAUUUUUCCAGCAUCCAGCACUGCCUUUUCGUAUGAUUGCUGCUCUUAAAUACUUGUAUGCACAGUUGUAUGCAUGUUUGUUGUGCCUGUUAGUUCAGUUUGGUAGAACAAAUGGAGAAAACUAAAAUAUGGAUUUUUAGCCACUACAAUGUUCCCUGCAGACAGGGCUUUUUGUACUGCCAUAGAAAUGCAGCAGCUCAGAGGAAGAACACAGCAUGUAAUUCUACAUACAUCACAGCCCUUUUUUAUUACUCUUACCACAUCAGCUGAAUGGAGAAUUAUGAAAACUAUGUCCCCGAUUCUGUAAAGAUUUUAAAAAGAGGCUUAACUUUGGACAUACAGGUAACUUCAAAGGGAAUUAAGUGAAAAUACAAGAUGUGAGUGGUUCAUGACAGGCAGAUGCAUUAGAGAGAAUGAUCUACACAAAACUUGAUCCAGAAGCUCAGGAAUUACAUUAAUUGACCUUUGUGAGCUAAACAAAAGCUCACUGGAAAUUAUGUUCAGAAGCUCAAAGUAUUUUGAAAAAAUAAAACCCAAUGAAAUGAAUAUUCAUAUUAUGGAGUGUCCUCUGACUUGUCUGUAGGCAAGGGGACUGGCUCUGCAGAAGGGCGUGGGAGUAUUGUCGUUGAUUUUACUGAAGCCAGAAUUUUGCCCAAAACACUUACUCUUCUCCUGGCUCUAAGUUUUUUUUUAUUAACUCUGACAUUGUUUCCUGCAUCUAUGCUGUCACAUUGCAUGGGGUGCAAAACCAUUCUAAAAUUAACAACGGACUUGAGCUGCAGAGCACGGCUCAUUGAUUAAACCUCUGAAUCCAUCUCGACAAAGUUUGAUUAGAUGUUUGAUUCAAGCCUACUGUAUAGACACAUCUCUUUGUACAUUCACAAUUUUGUUGGCACACCUGUUGUGGCCUGGUUGGGAAAUUUUGUGCAUGUAGCAAAUCCUGGUCUAAUGGGGCAAACUAAGCAUCGAUUUUGUUUCACCAUGUCGGAGCAAGCUAUGUCAACUACUGCACAUCACUUUGUGAUCAUGCUAAAGCCGCUCCGACAAAGAGCCACCUCAGCAAGCUGUCAUUUUAAUGUUUUAUCCAUUUUCUUUUUGUGUAUGUGUGCUCCACAUUACAGUGAAGCCUCAUCUCUCCUGCCCACCGCCAUAGGCUACAAGUCUGUUGCAAAACUCAAGUCUCAAACGUGUCACAUACAAUGAAAGAGAAAAAUUCCACCCAAAACAUUCUGAUUGCUGGUGCUCAUGCUGAAAUCCCCUUCUGGUCAGGAAGAGGAAAAGACAAGCGCGACACUGGUUGUGACACCUGCAUGGGUGCAUUGCUAGACCUUUUGCAGCCGAGAGAAUUUCCCUCCUUGUUUGCUGCAGGACACAGCACACCACCCCCAUGUGCUUGCUGCAGUGGGAAUCCUUACGUGCCUCCCUCCUGCAGCCAGACACAGGGUGCCUGUGUCCAUUUAUCCCCUCAAACUAAACUGAGCAGCUAUAUUGCAAUACUGCAAAUUAGAGGCCUUCUAUAUCAUAAUUUUAAAGCACUUUAGCUUGUUUUAUCAUUUAGCUCUUUAUUCAUCUAACUAGUUAGGAUUUUUAAGAUCUAAUCUAGUUCCCAUUAAGACACAGAGAAGAAUUCCUCUCACUGUGAAGUGUUGUAUUUUGGGAAGUCAAAACCUUUGGUGUCUGCCUGAGACAUUUAUAUUUUACAGACUUUAACAACUCAGCCUAUAGAUUUUUCUUCAUCAGUGGGGAAGUUUUAUUCUUAUCCCCAUUUUACAGGAUGAAAUCUCUUAUUCAGUGAAGUAUGUGAGCAUGUGCCAGUUUCAACAGAGCUGGUGGAAUCUUUCCAGGAUAGACUAAGUUUGCCAAAAGUGCAAUUUGAAGUGGAAAACUAUUCACAAAUUCAGGUUGAAUGUAACAAAGAGUUUUGUCAAAAAUAAAACUGGGGGAAUUUCUUUUCUCAGGAAAGUUUAAAUGUUUCAUAUCAGUAUUUUCAAAAUAAACUAUGUCAUUCUGACCUUUUUAAAGCCAGUUACAUUUCAAAAUUAACCUUUUUUUGUUCAUGACUUUUGCAAGUAAUAUAAUAAAGGAAAUAUUAGAGUUCUUGCUAUGGGAGCAAAUUGUCACUACUUUAAAUUUACUUUUGACAUUUUGAAAUUGAGGUUUUUUUUUCAGCUAGAGCUGUUUGUUGUUUAAUUUUUGCUUUAAAAAUGCAAACAAAAUGCAAACUUCCAUUCUAGAUCAAUCAAAGCAAGCUGAAUUGACCCCAAAUGAAACUCUGGGGAGAUUUUAUGCUUGUUGCACCAAAACAUUAGGUGUUUUGGGGUCAACCCCACCUGAUAAUUUUUUUUUUUUUCCAGUUUGCCAUUCAGCCACCAGACUGAAGGGAACACGUUCAUACAGCUCCAACUCGAACAGCUUAACAGCCCUAUUGUUCUCAUUUGACUUCUGUGAAGCUACCGGUGCUGGAGUCAACCACGUGCCUUGGAGUCUCACUGAACAGGCGCCUAAACAAACAAGAGAAAGUCAAAUGGGGAGACGGGCACAGCCCAGCUCCCAGCCCUGGCUUCCUGGCUCAAGACCCUUUUUAUCCUCCAGUGAAAACCAGGGUGUUCAGACAUGUAAAACCCAUAGAAAUGAGAAGGAUGGAACAGCUUGCUUUCUGCUGGAGAAAGAGGUGAACCCAGAGGCUGCUGUGGUAACAUGAUGCUCCAUGAGUGAAGACUUUCUGGUCCAUGUGAUGUUGGUAACAAUACCAGCAAUUCAAACCAAGGCAGUAGGCAGCUUGUGGUGGUGAGACAGUGAAGGUAUGGGGUUCAUUAAACAUGCAGCGUAGCCAGCUGGUCAAAAGAGGUGAUUCUUCCCCUGUAUUUAGUGCUGGUGCGGCCUCACCUUGAAUAUUGUGUGUGGUUCUGGGCUCCACAAUAUAAAAAGGAUGUUAAGGUCUGUGAAUGCAUCCAGAGCAGGACAACAAAGCCGGUAAAAGGGCUGGGAGGCAUGUCCUGUGGGGAGAGGCUGAAGAGACAUGGGUUGUCUAGUCCAGAGAGAGGAGGCUGAGAGGCAGCCUCAGUGCUCUCUGCAGCUCCCUGAGGAGGGAAGGUGCAGAGGGAGGCCCCCUCCAUUGGCCUUUGCUCCUUGAUCACCGAGGGCAGGAUGCUCUGGAACAGCACAAAGCUCUGCCAGGGGAGGUUCAGGCUGGACAUUAGGAAAAAAAAAAUCUGUUCUCUGACGGUGGUCAAACACUGGAACAGGCUUGCUAGUAUGGUUGUUGCUGCCUCAUACCUGUCAGUGUUCAUGAGGCAUUUGGUAAAUGCCCUCAGUAACAUGCUGUAAGCUUUAGUUAGCCCUGAGGUGGUCAGGCAGUUGGACUCAAAGAACUUUGUAGGUCCCUUCCAACAGAACUAUUGUAUUGUAUUGUAUUCUGUUCUGUUCUGUUCUGUUCUCUUUGUGUGCUCAUCUAUGUCUCUGGGGUCCUGGGAUCCAGAGUUUUGGGGUAUAUCUCAGAUAUACCUAGAAAACUAAUUGACAGUAACAUAAUGAAGGAGCAUGUAUUUAGGCCACAAAGGACAGUGAAACUCCAGAAAAGUGACAUUCUCUAUGGACCUACUCCAAAGCCCAAUCGUGUCAAUGAAAGGACUCCUAUUGACUUCAGUGUGACUUGGAUUGGUUCCUAAAAAUGGGAACAAAGCAGCAGACUUCAUAAAUCUUCUGAUGUGGUCCUUAAAGCAAGAAUUCAGACCUCAUGGGGCAAAGGCAAGAGAAGGGAGCUGUAAACCUUCCUGUGAUACCUGCUCCAAUAAGACGAUCCCUUUUGGCAGUGUGCUGUAUGCUUCAGCAAACAAAGUGAGUCUCUUCAGAGCUAACGUUAUCCUUGUCCUUGGGCAGAGGAGUACAGACAAUGGGCCCAACUGCCACUAUUUUAUACAUAUUUUAAUGCCCUUCAAGAAGUAUUUGGUAUUUAUACUUCCAAAUCACUGAACAGAAAACUGGACUGGAAGGGCCACACUUUGAACAGAAACCUGCUGUAGAAGAGAAACCUGCUCAGUCAUCUGCGAAGUACUAGGAGAUAUGAUACUGAUUUUGACUGAUGGAGAGGUUUACAAAACUUAGACACAAUUUCUACAAAAGUAAGACAGAACUAGAAAUAAACAAGGACCCAUCACAGAUGCUCACCAGCCUCAUAUUUUCAUCAGCACGCUGCAGAAAGCAAAAGCAGUUAAUAGAAACCUGGGUGUAAUUAUUUACCGAGUGGUUUGCAGCACAUCCGUGCCCACUGUGUUUGUAAACUGGCCAACAUUUUGACUCACAUAGGGGAAACAUGCGAAAUGCUGGAUAUCUGUCACACAAAAACUCCAGUGUAAAUAAAUAAAGCUACGUAGGACGUCUCCCACAGUCCGCACCACAUCACAACUGCUCUUACACAAGACAUCUGUAGGCACAGCAGAGAUAUCAGCGUACCGUCCGCAUCUCCAUCAUCCUUUUAUCACAAGGCUGGCGAGAGCUCUCUCUCCUCUUUGUAGACAUGUAACGAGGCCAAUGCAAAGCUGUCUGCCCAGCUCCAGCUGAUGAAGCAGAGGAAGAAAUCACCCUCCUCAGAGGUGCAGAAGCUCACCCUGUAACACGCCAGCCCAGCAGGUUUGCAGCCCUGCACCUCGGCCAGCCCCAUGCCCCACAUCUUGCUGCGCACCAGGCGGUGGGAACGGUUCACUCCUGCAGCACCAUGUUCAUGAAUCCAUCUCUUUGGAGAGUGGAUGGAGAGAGGAGGUACCUGCCUUGACAGAGAGGUGCUGGGUGUGUGUACCUUGAGGAGCAAUGAAAACCAUUCCGCUAAGCCCCUGCCGAUACUGGGAGCCAUGAAUCCCAUUGAGGAGUCCUGUUGGUGGCAAUGAAGCUUGAACAGCCACUUGCCUCUGAAUACUGCAACACACAAACAGGCAGUUCUUGUGUGGCCUUCUCCUGGGCUGGUCCUGCUCAGAGCUGGCUGUUUCAACAAGCAAAAUUCAUUUUGGAGAGGGAAUAAGGGCCGGGUUCAAGAGCCGUUAGAGUCAAUGGUGUGAAAUACUGCUAGCCAUUGCGGCAGAGAUAGCUCACGCCGCUGAGAAAUCGUUCCCUCCUGUCCAAAACUCUUUGGCUCACAUAUUGUAAGCAAUGUUUCAAAAGCUUCACAUACUUUUGGAACGUGUUCUCGAGUUUGGUAGGUGAACUGCUGGGAAUUUGUUUCUAAUGUAGGUAAUUUAAACCAACUAUUCAAAUAUGUGACCUUUAAAAAUACUGGAGAAUUUUUGACAUAUUUCAGAUCUCUGAUAAGUCUGUACUUUAAAAAAGAAAAAAGCUAAGAAAAUGUCUCUUGCUGUUUCUGUUUAUAAAUUGAGAUUAAGGGGGAAAAAAUAAACAAACUUGUCUACUUAUUUCCUUAGCUGACAUACCAGUUUUGGUCAGUGAAAGAAAAUGGACUUCCAAACAAACUCAUGACCUGUUUUGUUUUUGAAGGGGGAAUUCCCUGGGGAAUAAUAUUUUCCAAAGCCUGCUGCAGACAAGGUAUGUGCUUUAUCUCUUUAAUGCUGGUUGUUGUGAUGCUCUGAGAAGAGCAAUUGCAAGCUACACUGCAGCUUCACAAAGUUGUACUUUAACAAACCAAUGACUACUAGUGAAACACUUGGAAAAAGUUUUACAAAUGCAUUAAUUAUUAGCUGUGUAUUUUUCAUUCAGUAAUUUUCUCCCUGACCUCAUUGAUAUUUGGGUAAAUUAGUUAAUUCUGUUGAAGCCUGUGGAGUUACUUUUGUUUAUGUAAACUGUGAGGAAAAUUUUCUUCAGGAAAAAAAA